This 608-nucleotide long non-coding RNA is filed under the name Mus musculus (house mouse). RNAcentral's name for it is "predicted gene, 48775". The record is from RNAcentral. Lineage: Eukaryota; Metazoa; Chordata; Mammalia; Rodentia; Muridae.
GAUUUUUCUUUCUCCCCCAGCAGAGCAGUGCUCGCAGAAUGUUUACAGCUGAGGAGGGUCCAGGGAGGAUUGCUGAAGGACCCGAAGUCCAUCCAUCUCUUCAGAUAGUUUACAUUACAUCUCAAGUUCAAGCACUUAAUUUUAUAUCUAAAAUCUACCUACCAACCAUCAUCUUUCCAUGAGGCAGAAUAAGGGAGUUUCAUGAGUAAUGAGAAGCUGGUCCAUCAUUGAGUUCCUGACUGUGGCCGGAGUCUGUCCCACAAAAGGACGGAGCACCCUGAAGAUGCAGAAUGUACCGCUUACUCAACCAGUCCUCCUAGCUGCCUCCUUUGGAAGGCUGUGGUGUCCUUAUCACCAAAGCACUGGAGAGAGGAUGUCCCGCUAACAGCUGUGUGCAUGUUUGAGAACAUCCUAGCACUCUGCAUUAUUUAACUUGCCAGUUUCUUGAGAACCUGAAAGCCCGGAGGGAGAAGGAAUAUCUUAAUCAAUUUCACACCCACUGUAUCUGACACAUAGACAGUGAAUAAUAUCCCAUAAGAUUUUCAGGUAAAAUUCAAGUAAAAGUCAUAUAACGUGAAAUUUUCCACUUAAUGAUUUGUUGGCGUUUG